AGUCAAGUAAUUAAGUGCAUGUGGUGGAUGCCUUGGCAGUCAGAGGCGAUGAAAGACGUGAUAGCCUGCGAAAAGCUCCGGGGAGGCGGCAAAUAUCCUUUGAUCCGGAGAUGUCUGAAUGGGGGAACCCACCUACUUUAAGGUAGGUAUUGCAACAUGAAUACAUAGUGUUGCAAGGCGAACGAGGGGAAGUGAAACAUCUCAGUACCCUUAGGAAAAGAAAUCAAUUGAGAUUCCCUCAGUAGCGGCGA
Molecule: ribosomal RNA, 251 nt
Filed under: Acinetobacter baumannii
Lineage: Bacteria; Pseudomonadati; Pseudomonadota; Gammaproteobacteria; Moraxellales; Moraxellaceae
Description: partial 23S ribosomal RNA
Rfam family: Bacterial large subunit ribosomal RNA
Source: RNAcentral